RNAcentral lists this ribosomal RNA (484 nucleotides) under uncultured bacterium. RNAcentral's name for it is "partial 16S ribosomal RNA". It matches the Rfam family "Bacterial small subunit ribosomal RNA", at positions 29 to 507 of the family's 1533-position model. The record is from RNAcentral.
AUUGAACGCUGGCGGCAUGCUUUACACAUGCAAGUCGAACGGCAGCGCGGGCUUCGGCCUGGCGGCGAGUGGCGAACGGGUGAGUAAUACAUCGGAACGUGCCCAGUAGUGGGGGAUAGCUCGGCGAAAGCCGGAUUAAUACCGCAUACGACCUGAGGGUGAAAGCGGGGGAUCUUCGGACCUCGCGCUAUUGGAGCGGCCGAUGGCCGAUUAGCUAGUUGGUGGGGUAAAGGCCUACCAAGGCGACGAUCUGUAGCUGGUCUGAGAGGACGACCAGCCACACUGGAACUGAGACACGGCCCAGACUCCUACGGGAGGCAGCAGUGGGGAAUUUUGGACAAUGGGCGAAAGCCUGAUCCAGCAAUGCCGCGUGUGUGAUGAAGGCCUUCGGGUUGUAAAGCACUUUUGGCGGGAACGAAAAGGACUGUGCCAAUACCACGGUUCGAUGACGGUACCCGCAGAAUAAGCACCGGCUAACUACGUG